Molecule: ribosomal RNA, 543 nt
Filed under: Mycobacterium intermedium
Lineage: Bacteria; Bacillati; Actinomycetota; Actinomycetes; Mycobacteriales; Mycobacteriaceae
Description: bacterial SSU rRNA
Rfam family: Bacterial small subunit ribosomal RNA
Source: RNAcentral
GUGCUUAACACAUGCAAGUCGAACGGAAAGGCCCCUUCGGGGGUACUCGAGUGGCGAACGGGUGAGUAACACGUGGGUAAUCUGCCCUGCACACUGGGAUAAGCCUGGGAAACUGGGUCUAAUACCGGAUAGGACCUCUCGGCGCAUGCCUAGGAGGUGGAAAGCUUUUGCGGUGUGGGAUGGGCCCGCGGCCUAUCAGCUUGUUGGUGGGGUGACGGCCUACCAAGGCGACGACGGGUAGCCGGCCUGAGAGGGUGUCCGGCCACACUGGGACUGAGAUACGGCCCAGACUCCUACGGGAGGCAGCAGUGGGGAAUAUUGCACAAUGGGCGCAAGCCUGAUGCAGCGACGCCGCGUGGGGGAUGACGGCCUUCGGGUUGUAAACCUCUUUCAGCAGGGACGAAGCGCAAGUGACGGUACCUGCAGAAGAAGCACCGGCCAACUACGUGCCAGCAGCCGCGGUAAUACGUAGGGUGCGAGCGUUGUCCGGAAUUACUGGGCGUAAAGAGCUCGUAGGUGGUUUGUCGCGUUGUUCGUGAAAUC